RNAcentral lists this ribosomal RNA (466 nucleotides) under uncultured bacterium. RNAcentral describes it as "partial 16S ribosomal RNA". It matches the Rfam family "Bacterial small subunit ribosomal RNA", at positions 28 to 507 of the family's 1533-position model. The record is from RNAcentral.
GACGAACGCUGGCGGCGUGCUUAACACAUGCAAGUCGAACGGAAAGGCCCUGCUUGCAGGGUACUCGAGUGGCGAACGGGUGAGUAACACGUGGGUGAUCUGCCCUGAACUUCGGGAUAAGCUUGGGAAACUGGGUCUAAUACCGGAUAGGAGCCAUCUUUAGUGUGGUGGUUGGAAAGUUUUUUCGGUGUAGGAUGAGCUCGCGGCCUAUCAGCUUGUUGGUGGGGUAAUGGCCUACCAAGGCGGCGACGGGUAGCCGGCCUGAGAGGGUGUACGGCCACAUUGGGACUGAGAUACGGCCCAGACUCCUACGGGAGGCAGCAGUGGGGAAUAUUGCACAAUGGGCGCAAGCCUGAUGCAGCGACGCCGCGUGGGGGAUGAAGGCCUUCGGGUUGUAAACUCCUUUCGCUAGGGACGAAGCUUUGUUGUGACGGUACCUAGAUAAGAAGCACCGGCUAACUACGUG